UAGAUAGUUUGUUUUGUAUAAUUUUGUCAAUUAUUUAGAAUUAACUAAAUUUUGUGAUUCUGUCUUUGCAGGACAUGGACAUCGGCCACCAUGUGAAUGGCCUGCGUAAGCACCCAUCCAACGAGGUCCGGCAACUGGUGAAGCUGCUCGUUAGGAAAUGGAAGGAAAUAGUGGAUGAUUGGGUGAGGCUGCACAACUCAGGUGGUGAUGGUAGUGGCUCCAUCAUAUGCGAUGGUGACU
Zea mays is the source of this 240-nucleotide long non-coding RNA. RefSeq lists it as uncharacterized. The transcript has 3 exons. Lineage: Eukaryota; Viridiplantae; Streptophyta; Magnoliopsida; Poales; Poaceae. The record is from RefSeq and is a predicted model, not a curated record.